Acanthosepion pharaonis is the source of this 102-nucleotide non-coding RNA. The record is from the annotation of a GenBank genome assembly. NCBI's taxonomy places the organism in Eukaryota, Metazoa, Mollusca, Cephalopoda, Sepiida, Sepiidae.
AGCAUUCAAAUACCAGUUCCUGAACGAUCACCAAAGUUAAGCAACAUCGAGCUUGGUCAGUAGCUAGAUGAGUGAAUGCUUGGGAAUACCAAGUGCUGUAAG